CAAAAAGCGAUGACGAAGAAAAGUAGUACAGACAGACGGCACAGAGAGCAGGCGGCGGUGGGAGUCCUGCGCGGAUAUCUGUAGGAAAGAACACUUCCGAGCUGCAAGCUGAACGCAGGAUCUGUAAGUAGGCGAGCCGGAGUCCCACGUUACAGGGAUAGCGUUUCAUGGGAACGCGAAAAAGGGGCCGUACAAGGAAGUGCGGCAAGUUAGGUGGCACCGCGGAUAUAGCAGCAGCUAUUCGUCCUAUCU
Molecule: non-coding RNA, 252 nt
Filed under: Bacillota bacterium
Lineage: Bacteria; Bacillati; Bacillota
Description: Firmicutes bacterium T-box sequence
Rfam family: T-box leader
About the family: Uncharged tRNA acts as the effector for transcription antitermination of genes in the T-box leader family. T-boxes are found upstream of many aminoacyl-tRNA synthetase genes and some amino acid biosynthetic genes usually in Gram-positive bacteria.
Source: RNAcentral